AUCCAGUUGACGAGUCCCAAAUAGAACGAGACUCGCGUCCUGGAU
Non-coding RNA from Schistosoma mansoni, 45 nucleotides. The record is from Rfam. NCBI's taxonomy places the organism in Eukaryota, Metazoa, Platyhelminthes, Trematoda, Strigeidida, Schistosomatidae.